Molecule: ribosomal RNA, 497 nt
Filed under: uncultured bacterium
Lineage: Bacteria
Description: bacterial SSU rRNA
Rfam family: Bacterial small subunit ribosomal RNA
Source: RNAcentral
AAUUAUGGCUCAGGAUGAACGCUGGCGGCGUGCUUAACACAUGCAAGUCGAACGAAGCAACUAUCUUGCUUGCAAGAGAGUUGACUUAGUGGCGGACGGGUGAGUAACGCGUGGGUAACCUGCCUCAUACAGGGGGAUAACAGUUGGAAACGACUGCUAAGACCGCAUAACCCGCUAGUGUCGCAUGACACGGACGGAAAAUAUUUAUAGGUAUGAGAUCGGGCCCGCGUCUGAUUAGCUAGUUGGUAAGGUAACGGCUUACCAAGGCGACGAUCAGUAGCCGACUUGAGAGAGUGAUCGGCCACAGUUGGGACUGAGACACGGCCCAAACUCCUACGGGAGGCAGCAGGUGGGAAUAUUGGACAAUGGGGGAAACCCUGAUCCAGCGAACCGCCGCGUGAGUGAAGAAGUAUUUCGGUAUGUAAAGCUCUAUCAGCAGGGAAGAUAAUGACAGUACCUGACUAAGAAGCCCCGGCUAACUACGUGCCAGCCGCAGC